CUCCUGGAAAAGGGUGGUAAUGCCGGAUGCUCCAGUUGAUCGCAUGGUCUUCUGGGAAAGCUUUCGCGGUAUGGGAUGGGGUCGCGUCCUAUCAGCUUGACGGCGGGGUAACGGCCCACCGUGGCUUCGACGGGUAGCCGGCCUGAGAGGGCGACCGGCCACAUUGGGACUGAGAUACGGCCCAGACUCCUACGGGAGGCAGCAGUGGGGAAUAUUGCACAAUGGGCGCAAGCCUGAUGCAGCGACGCCGCGUGAGGGAUGGAGGCCUUCGGGUUGUAAACCUCUUUUAUCGGGGAGCAAGCGAGAGUGAGUUUACCCGUUGAAUAAGCACCGGCUAACUACGUGCCAGCAGCCGCGGUAAUACGUAGGGUGCAAGCGUUAUCCGGAAUUAUUGGGCGUAAAGGGCUCGUAGGCGGUUCGUCGCGUCCGGUGUGAAAGUCCAUCGCUUAACGGUGGAUCCGCGCCGGGUACGGGCGGGCUUGAGUGCGGUAGGGGAGACUGGAAUUCCCGGUGUAACGGUGGAAUGUGUAGAUAUCGGAAAGAACACCA
Molecule: ribosomal RNA, 549 nt
Filed under: Bifidobacterium longum subsp. suillum
Lineage: Bacteria; Bacillati; Actinomycetota; Actinomycetes; Bifidobacteriales; Bifidobacteriaceae
Description: bacterial SSU rRNA
Rfam family: Bacterial small subunit ribosomal RNA
Source: RNAcentral